UUACAUUUCCAGAAUUGUGUCUUAUAUUGUUUUUCUCGUUUCUGCUGCAUUUUCAUUAUGGUAUGCAAGCUAGGUUCUUCCUAGGAUAUGCUAUCUUAGGUUGUUUUUUUAAUUAUGAAUGAUUCUGGUUCCAAUAUGGAGGAGACACCUACUCCCCAUACUUUUGGAUCUAUCCCAGUUUUAACUCAAACCCACCCUCUUGCUAUCAAACUCACAGAGAGCAAUUACCUUGUUUGGAAGCAACAACUCAUGUCUACUAUUCGAGCUUUUGACCUCGAAUCAUUUUUAUUUGGAGAGCAAACAAUUCCUUCUAGUCUGAUUUCAGUUGAUGGUUCUCCUCAUCAGAUCGUAAAUCCAAAUUUUUUGGUCUGGAGGCGCCAGGAUCAGCUAUUAGCCUCUUGGCUUCAGUCAUCUCUCUCUGAGAACGUCUUGGCAUUAAUGGUUGGGCUUACUACUAGUCGGGAAAUCUGUAUGGCUUUGGAAGCAAAUUUUGCAAGCCAAUCCAAAGCUAAAAUUAUGCAGUAUAGGCAACAACUUCAGUCAGCUAAAGGACUUUCAAUCUUUGGGAGAGUAUUUGAGCAAAGUAAAGAGUUGUUGUUAUUCUCUUGCUGCUGCAGACAGUCGCAUUUCUGAAGAUGGUCAAAUUCUAUAUGUUCUAGAUGGUCUUGGCAUAGAAUACGAUCACGUAAUGGUUGCUAUCUCUGCAAGAAUCGACUGAUGGACUAUGCAAGAAGUUACAUCUUUGCUGCUUAGUUUUGAGUCCAUAUUGGAUGCUGCUAAGAAACCCAAAAUUAAUAUGGAUGGUUCCUCUCCCUCCCUUUAUGUUGCAAGAAAUUAUGGAUUUGGAUAUGGUUUUCGAGGAGGCAGGGGAGGUAGAUCAGGUUGUCGAGGUCUGGAGGCAAGCUGAUAUGUCAGCUAUGUCAAAAACUAGGUCACUCAUCUCAUCAUUGCUAGUAUCGUUUUGAAUAAUCCUCCAUGCCUCCUCCACCCUCUAGGCAGAAUCAACCACACCACAAUAACUUUGGCAAUUUUGGGAAUUCUCAUCCAUCUGCCAAUGUUACCCAUGCUAGAGGCACUUCUCCUUCUCCUGUUCCUGACUACAACAAUUACAGCAAUGAUGCUUCCUCCUCCAUUUCAUGGUAUCCAGACUCUAGUACAACGCAUCAUGUGUCAAAUGCUUUCUCAAAUUUGAACAUUGCAUCAAAAUAUCAUGGAGGUUUCCAAGGAAGUACUACUGGAGGGCACCCUUGAGAAUGGUCUCUACAAGUUCCGUUUCCACAAAUCUACUGUUUCUUCAACUCCUUCAAUAUAGAACCAAUCUGCUGCAGCUCAAUCCUCUAUUCCCCCUACUGUUUUUAGCUCUUCAUGUAAUAGCCUUGAUAGUCUUGAACUUUGGCAUCAAAGGUUGGGUCAUUGUGCUCUUCCUAUUGUUAAAAAAAUCUUGAUGGAUUGUAAUAUUCCUCAUUCCUCAAUGAAAUCAGAUUUUAAGUACUAUGUUAACUUCAUUGAUCAUCAUAGUCGAUUCACAUGGAUUUAUCUUCUCAAAACCAAAAAUUAACUUCUAUCUGUUUUUCAACACUUCAAAUCUUCAGCUGAAAACCAACUUAACUCCAAACUCAAAAUGCUUCCAAGCGAUUGGGGUGGUGAAUAUAGGGGCUUAACUGACUUUCUUCAUUCCAACGGCAUUCACCAUAGAGUUUCUUGUCCCUAUACGCCACAACAAAACGGCCUAGCUGAAAGGAAGCAUAGGCACAUUGUUGAAACAUGUCUCACACUUUUAGCUCAAUCUGGUCUGCCAUUUGAAUUUUGGGAUGAUUCUUUUAGCACUGUUGUUUAUCUCAUUAACAGGACUCCCUCUAAAGUUCUCUCAUUUGCCUCUCCCUAUCAGAUUCUUUACAAAUCCAAACCUAACUAUCAAGCACUCAAACCUUUUGGAUGUCUUUGCUAUCCACACAUUAGACACUUAACCAAAUCCAAAUUAGACUUUAGAUCAGAUUCAGCAGCUUUUCUAGGCUAUAGUCCCUCUCAUAAAGGGUACAAAGCACUGCUACCUAAUGGAAAACUCAUCAUUACCAGAGAUAUAAUUUUCAAUGAGUCUGUUUUUCCCAUACAAAACUAUCUUUCAAGCUUAGCCUCCCUCUGUUCCCUUUGAUCUUCCUAAUCCCAUCUCAUCUUUCAUUCAGCCUCUCUUUGUUCCCACUAACCUCACUAACAUUCAGUCUCAUCUAACUGAUUCUUGCUCAUCCCCUAUUUCUCCUUCUGCUAUCAUAUCAUCUCCUAUGGUUACUCCCCCUGAUGCUUCUCCUUCACAGAUUUCUCUUCCAUCUCCUAUAAUAAAUUCUAAUCCUUCGUCAUCUCCAGAUGUAUCUCAUAUUAUCUCUUCUUCCACUCCUGUUGCUAAUCCCAAUCACCAUCAUAUGAUCACAAGAUCCAAGCAUGGCUUUUUUAAACCCAAAAUCCUCACUGCCGAUGCAUCUUCCAGUGAUGAUGAGCUUGUUUUAAUCAUUCCCCAUUAAGCUAAAAUAGGUCUUGCUAUUCCUGUAUGGAAGUGUGCUAUGACAGAGGAAUUUCUUGCCUUACUCAGAAACAGAACUUGAACUCUUACUUAUCUCCCUCUAGGUAAGAAUCUUAUUGGAUGCAAUUAAGUUUUUAGGCAUAAGAAACAUGUUGAUGGAUCCAUUGCUAGACAUAAGGCUCGAUUGGUAGCAGUAGCACAAGGCUUCUCUUAAGAAACAGGCUUUGAUUUUCUUGAAACUUUUAGCCCUGUUGUUAAGCCUAAUACCAUUAGACUGAUGAUAAGCAUUGUUGUUACAUCUGGUUGGUCAAUUAAGCACCUUGAUGUUAACAAUGCUUUUCUUAAUGGUGAUUUGGAGGAAGAAAUCUACAUGAGGCAGCCUUCUAGAUUUGAACAAGGUGCUCCUGGUAUGGUUUGCAAGCUUAACAAAGCCUUGUAUGGUCUCAAGCAGGCAUCAAGGUCAUGGUAUAUCACUAUGCACUCAACUCUUAUCUCUCUUGGUUUUCAAUCCAAAGCUGAUCAUUCAUUCUUUUUUUAAAACCAAGUCAGAAAUCAUCUAUCUUCUUAUUUAUGUGGACGACAUAUUAAUAAAUUGCUCUUCUCCCCCUGGUAUCAGAAAAUUGUUAAUCAUCUUCAUAAAACUGAGGUAUCUAAAACUGCUCAAGAUCUUCAUUUAUCUCAGACUACCUACAUAACUGAAUUGCUUAAAAAGGUGAAGAUGACAGAUGCUAAACCAUUUCCUACUCAUAUGGUUUCUGAUCUGAAGUUGAGUAAAAAUGAAGGAGAACCUACUAUUGAUGGUAAACUCUAUAGGAGUGUAGUUGGAGCUCUAUAAUAUGUUACUGUCACUCGACCAGAGUUGAGUUUUUUAGUCAACAAAGUUAGUCAGUAUAUGUCAUGCCCUCUUGGUUCUCGCUGGAAAGCUGUCAAGAGAAUCCUAAGAUACUUGAAUGGUUCUACUGAUUAUGGUCUACACAUCAAAGCCUCAAGUUAUACUUUGUUUGGUUUUCUAAUUUUGAUUGGGCUUCAGACAUUGAUGAUAGAAGAUCUACAUCAGGUUAUUGUGUUAACUUUGGUGAUAACUUGGUCUCUUGGUGUGCAAAGAAACAAAAAGUUGUGUCCAGAUCUAGUACCGAGGCAGAGUACAGAAGUUUGGCACUUGUUGUCUCUGAAAUCACUUGGUUAAAAUCUAUUUUGCAAGAGCUGAAUAUUAAGCUCAAAGCCCCACAUGUUGUGUGGGUGGACAAUCUCAGCACUAUAGCUAUGGCGUCUAAUCAUGUCCUACAUUCUCGAGCCAAGUUUAUUGAACUUGAUAUUCAUUUUGUGAGAGAUAAAGUCGUUGAUAAAGAAAUUGAUGUAAGGCAUGUGCCUUCUCAUGAUAGGUAGCUGAUGUGCUAACCAAACCACUAAGUCUCCAAUUCUUCACUAGGCUGCAUAAUAAACUUGGUGUUUUCUCACUUGCCUCCCUCGAAUUGAGGGGAGAUGUUA
Long non-coding RNA from Salvia splendens (bonfire salvia), 4003 nucleotides. RefSeq lists it as uncharacterized. Lineage: Eukaryota; Viridiplantae; Streptophyta; Magnoliopsida; Lamiales; Lamiaceae. The record is from RefSeq and is a predicted model, not a curated record. The transcript has 2 exons.